RNAcentral lists this ribosomal RNA (560 nucleotides) under Pseudomonas sp. R8-8. Its description in RNAcentral is "bacterial SSU rRNA". It matches the Rfam family "Bacterial small subunit ribosomal RNA", at positions 137 to 692 of the family's 1533-position model. The record is from RNAcentral. Lineage: Bacteria; Pseudomonadati; Pseudomonadota; Gammaproteobacteria; Pseudomonadales; Pseudomonadaceae.
UGGGGGAUAACGUUCGGAAACGGACGCUAAUACCGCAUACGUCCUACGGGAGAAAGCAGGGGACCUUCGGGCCUUGCGCUAUCAGAUGAGCCUAGGUCGGAUUAGCUAGUUGGUGAGGUAAUGGCUCACCAAGGCGACGAUCCGUAACUGGUCUGAGAGGAUGAUCAGUCACACUGGAACUGAGACACGGUCCAGACUCCUACGGGAGGCAGCAGUGGGGAAUAUUGGACAAUGGGCGAAAGCCUGAUCCAGCCAUGCCGCGUGUGUGAAGAAGGUCUUCGGAUUGUAAAGCACUUUAAGUUGGGAGGAAGGGUUGUAGAUUAAUACUCUGCAAUUUUGACGUUACCGACAGAAUAAGCACCGGCUAACUCUGUGCCAGCAGCCGCGGUAAUACAGAGGGUGCAAGCGUUAAUCGGAAUUACUGGGCGUAAAGCGCGCGUAGGUGGUUUGUUAAGUUGGAUGUGAAAUCCCCGGGCUCAACCUGGGAACUGCAUUCAAAACUGACUGACUAGAGUAUGGUAGAGGGUGGUGGAAUUUCCUGUGUAGCGGUGAAAUGCGUA